This 478-nucleotide ribosomal RNA is filed under the name Botrytis prunorum. RNAcentral describes it as "eukaryotic LSU rRNA". It matches the Rfam family "Eukaryotic large subunit ribosomal RNA", at positions 104 to 585 of the family's 3401-position model. Lineage: Eukaryota; Fungi; Ascomycota; Leotiomycetes; Helotiales; Sclerotiniaceae. The record is from RNAcentral.
AAAGCUCAAAUUUGAAAUCUGGCUCUUUUAGAGUCCGAAUUGUAAUUUGUAGAAGAUGCUUCGGGUGUGGUUCCGGUCUAAGUUCCUUGGAACAGGACGUCAUAGAGGGUGAGAAUCCCGUAUGUGACUGGAUACCUAUGCUCAUGUGAAGCUCUUUCGACGAGUCGAGUUGUUUGGGAAUGCAGCUCAAAAUGGGAGGUAUAUUUCUUCUAAAGCUAAAUAUUGGCCAGAGACCGAUAGCGCACAAGUAGAGUGAUCGAAAGAUGAAAAGCACUUUGGAAAGAGAGUUAAACAGUACGUGAAAUUGUUGAAAGGGAAGCGCUUGCAAUCAGACUUGCACUUGGUGUUCAUCAGGGUCUCGUACCCUGUGUACUUCAUCAAGUUCAGGCCAGCAUCAGUUUGAGUGGUUAGAUAAAGGCUUAGAGAAUGUGGCCCUCUUCGGGGGGUGUUAUAGCUCUAGGUGCAAUGUAGCCUACUU